Molecule: long non-coding RNA, 2638 nt
Organism: Apodemus sylvaticus (European woodmouse)
Lineage: Eukaryota; Metazoa; Chordata; Mammalia; Rodentia; Muridae
Exons: 3
Source: RefSeq, a predicted model, not a curated record
UGGGCAGCCUCCCAGGCUGACCCCUGGUGGCCCGGUUGGCCAGGCUCCAGCGGAGUGUUUCCUGCAGUGACAGGCUCUGGCCCAUAUUUCCGGAUCCAGGAAAUAUCGCCGCUUUGUCCCUGAGGCUGAGCGUGGCACAGCCGGCUGCGUGAUUCACCCCCAGCUCCUGCCAGGCCAGCUCUGGAGGGAGAAGCCUUCAUGUUUGUCUGGUUUUCCCUCAAUGGCUCCAGCUUGCUGCUGGGAUUCAAGGACAGCUGGGCUGGGGGUUAGAGGGCUGUCCUUGCCCUUCAAGCCCCUGCCUCAGCCUCCCCGCCAGGGACAGGCUUGCUUCACCACGCUGGGCCUCAUUCUGUUGCGUAUCGUUUCUGCAAGGGCUACUUUUGAGGAGCUGCUCCUACCAAUAUGUUUGUACCAGAAGGAGGCUCUGUGUUACCUGGAUGAAGACACCACCUGCAUGUCUGCUGCUGCUGCCCCUGGAGUUCGGGAGAGGGCAUCAGAUCCCCUGCAUGGAGGUGUCACUUCUCCUGAAUCAACCAGAGUGAACCGGCUGUAAAUCUCCACAUAGGCCAAGCCCCGUGCUGCCCACAGCCUUCUGGACCCCCGAAGUCGUCCACAGCCAUGAGGUAACUACCUCCUCACCCACCCCCCACUGGUCACCGGUUCCAAGGUACACUUCCCAGAGUCCCCAUGCUCCUCUCGAGGCCCUUCCCUUAGUGAGCGUGUCCUGGCACCCAUGGAAGAUUCCAGUAGAGUCUUCCCACAAUGUCAGAAAGUAAGAUAAGAAAAUCACGGGCCAGCGAGAGGGCAGCUUGGGUGGAGGGGCUGGCAAGUUUGCCGAUCUGAAUUUGUCCCAGACCCACAUGGCGGAAGGAGAGAACCAACAACAAACUGUCCUCCGACCGGCACAACAUGUGCCGUGACGUGGGCACAUACACAUUAUCGUAAAAAAUAAUUGUGAAGAAAGUUACAAACACAUCUGCCCGCUUCUCUAUCAUCAGGUGCUUGGCUGGUAGCUGGGGGCUUUCACCCAUCUCCCUUUGUUUGUUUUUGAGACAAGGACUCUCUGUAUAACCAGGGCUAGCCUUGAACUCACUCUACAGACCAGUGUCGUCUCAGACUCACAGAUACCCGCCUGCCUCAGCCUCCUGGGUACUGAGAUGACAGGCACGGGUUAUCACCCUGGUCCACAUAAGUCUGAGUAUCAGGCCACUCCAGAGGGGGUAUCUCAAGCAAGGGCUACUGGGAACAGAGGCUGAGGGGCCUUGUGGGGCCCUGGGCCAUUUCCCGAUGGAGGCUCUGAGGCGCCAGACCUCAGCCUGCUGCUACCGUCUGGCUCAGCUGGGUUCAUGGGGUCCCCUCAACCCCUGCCCCCACCCCAGACUGUCCCUUGGCCUGUACCACUCUACCUCUGGUUCCUCGGGGCUGUGAGACCUAAGUUAAAUAUCAGGACUUACAAUGGCAGAGGAGGCAGGAGGGUUAGGAGUUCAAUGCCAGCCUCAGCUACAUGGGGAAUCUGAGAGCAGCCUGGGCUACAUAAUACCGUUUCUCAAAAACAAAACAAAACAAAACAAAACAAAAACACAAGAAAAAAAAUUCCUGCCAGACACCUAAAGGUGGUGGUCCACACCUUUAAUCCUAAGACUUGGGAGGCAAAGGCAGACAGAUCUCUGAGGCCAGCCUGGUCUACAGAAGGAGUUCCAGGACAGCCAGGGCUACUCAGUGGGACCCUGUCUCUGAAUCAGCCACUCAACAUGUGAAACCCCUCUGGUACAGAAAAUUGUCUAGAAUAAGCACAACAGCAGGCUGAUCUCAGUUAAAGGACGCAUUGUGGUCUGGAGAGCUGGCUCAGUGGUUAGGAGCUCAUGCUGCUCUUCCUGAGAACCUGGGUUCAAUUCCCAGCACCCACACCAGGUAACUUCACAACGGCCCGGAACCCCAGCUCCGGAGGACCUGACCUCUGUGGGCAUUCAUGUACAUGUGCCCUCAUGCACAUAAUUAAAAUAAAACAAUAUCAAUAAAGGCAGCAGCUGAUGAGAUGACCCAGCAGGUGAAGGGUCGUCCGCGGAGCCUGUUGACCUGAGUCCAAUCCCAAGACCCACAGGGCAGAAGGCGACCAGAGACUCCUACAAGGUCUCCUGGGGCACCUCUGCUCUCACAGGAACAUACAAAUAAACCGGAUAGGCUUUUUAAAUAAAAAGAAGGAAGAACAAUUGUUUUGAUUACUGCAACUGCAUGUGGAUUUCCUUACCACCUCUGACUCCUGUCAGCAGUGCAAACAGACAAGGAGAUGGCGCAGUGGGAAAAGCAGUCACCGGGCAAGUCUGACAACCUGAACUUCCUCGGGUUCCAUUAAAAAAGACAGGUACUGUCCCGGCAAGGGGCGCACAAUCCCAGCAUGCGGGAGGCAGAGCAAGAGGACCUCUGUGAGUUUGAGGCCGGCCUGGGCUUGCCUCAAAGAGACAAAAUAGAAACAAAAAUAAAAAUGACGGGGGCUGGAGAGAUGGCUCGAUGGUUAAGAGCACUGACUGUACUUCCAGAGGUCCUGAGUUCAAUUCCCAGCAACCACAUGGUGGCUCACAACCAUCUUUAAUGAGAUCUGAUGCUCUCUUCUGGUGUGUCUGAAGACAGCUACAGCAUA